RNAcentral lists this ribosomal RNA (198 nucleotides) under uncultured bacterium. RNAcentral describes it as "partial 16S ribosomal RNA". It matches the Rfam family "Bacterial small subunit ribosomal RNA", at positions 328 to 539 of the family's 1533-position model. The record is from RNAcentral.
ACGCUCGACACCUACGGGAGGCAGCAGUGGGGAAUAUUGCACAAUGGGGGAAACCCUGAUGCAGCGACGCCGCGUGAGCGAAGAAGUAUUUCGGUAUGUAAAGCUCUAUCAGCAGGGAAGAUCAUGACGGUACCUGACUAAGAAGCUCCGGCUAAAUACGUGCCAGUAGCCGCGGUAAUCUGAGCGGGCUGGCAAGGC